UACGGGGGGGGCAAGCGUUGUUCGGAAUUACUGGGCGUAAAGGGCUCGUAGGUGGCCAACUAAGUCAGACGUGAAAUCCCCAGGCUUAACCUGGGAACUGCGUCUGAUACUGGAUGGCUUGAAUUCGGGAGAGGGAUGCAGAAUUCCAGGUGUAGCGGUGAAAUGCGUAGAUAUCUGGAGGAAUACCGGUGGCGAAGGCGGCAUCCUGGACCGAGAUUGACACUGAGGAGCGAAAGCCAGGGGAGCAAACGGG
This 253-nucleotide ribosomal RNA is filed under the name uncultured bacterium. RNAcentral's name for it is "partial 16S ribosomal RNA". It matches the Rfam family "Bacterial small subunit ribosomal RNA", at positions 524 to 776 of the family's 1533-position model. The record is from RNAcentral.